CGAAGCCUCACUACAAACACGGACAUAGCUUACGAGCUGGAAAAUAAACAUACCGUAUGUAUAUAACUUAUUUUUAGGACUGAAACCGUUAUGUAUCAUUUUGAUUUAUUUCAUUACAAUCGUAAAAUUAUUUACUGUUAAUAAGCAUUAAAUUCAUACAUAUACAGCUUUAUUAAGUUUUAUUCAACCCGGUGACGUUUAGUUCACAUUUUGUUUACUUGAGAACUACUCAGGUUGUAUUCAAUUUUAGUUGGUCAUUUCAUGUUGACCAGUGGAUAAAGUUGGUCAAGUUAGACAGAAUAAAUGGAUUAUUGAGGAUGCUAUCACCAGGUCCCCAGCUUUACAUUUGAGGAUUCAGGGAUUCGACGACUGAAUAAUAUCUACAGUCAGAGGUAUUUUAAAUUUUCACAUUUCCUUUUUUUUUAAGAAAAUCUCAUUUUCUCUAUUUUUCGUGCCUAUAACUGUAUCAAAUACAUGUAUCCUUUCGGUUGUUCUGUAAUAUAAGACUUCGAAGUUUCAUUUCAUUUACAUUCAACGUUUUUAAUCGGAUUUUUUUUUCACGUUAAACAUUGAUAGUAAAACCAAAUAUCCGUGAUAAAAAUCGUUGAAUGUAGAUGAUAUGAACCUUCGAAGUCUAAUAUUAUAGGACAACCUUUCGGAAGCAUUUCUUAAUCCACUAACUCCUAAAGAUCAAACUUGUUACCAACUUAUGUAUUUUCAAUUUGUUCCCAACCUUGUCAUGUGUGUAUAUAUUUGCCACUUGACUUUAUACAAACAACAUGUAUUCAAAUCUAAUAAAAAGAAUUUAUUUAGACAAACCUAGUAUGGUUACCUAAAAAUUUAAAAAGUUUGAUACUACAAGAACUUUAUAAUAUGAAGUUAAAUGCACAUAACUUUGAUUUUAUGUGCAAUGAAAAGUUACGAUAUCAUCUGAUGAUCAUGAUAUACUCUUACUACGUUUACUUAAUGCAAAAGCAAAAUGGAAAAUGUUACUACAGUUAUAAAUAUUUUUAAAGAAUAACAUUUUUUAAUUGAACCGACGCAAACUAUUGCUGUAAGUGAUUUCUGAUCAUUGGUUCGUUUCUAUGAAAUAAAAUCAUAUCAAUCCAUAUAAAGAAGAAAAAAAUUGUUGCAGCUUGUGUUUAAUUUGAGAUUCGGGAGAGAAAAAAAAUCCUUUAAUCUCUAUUGACUGAAUGUUGGGGGUUCAUAGGGAAGUCUUCCUGAGAUUUAAUGAUAGGAAGGCCGUAUUAAUAUUUUUAAAAAAUCCGCCCGAGAACCAAGUGACAAAAAAUUUCAAAAUAAACCAUGAAAUGGAAAAAAUAACUUCAGUUUUUACUGACUUUUAUAACAGUGGUGUUAGUUGUUGUCUCGCCUGUGACUUCGUCGCAGUUUGCGAGACAUAAGUAUUACUAUCAGACGGUCGCGGCGAUAUACCCUAUUUUUAUAAAGCUUUGUGUUUCAGAAGGUAAAAGACCAGGAUGCUUCAUAUUUUGAUUGCAUAUACAUUAUGCUACGAAGCUUCCGUCUGUCAGAUGUCCAUUGUCAUUGACCUCCUUUUCAUGGUCCAUUGGAUGCUUGAAAAAUUCAAUUUUAUCUGUAUUCCUUAUAUUCCAUCUCUUUUAAGAAAAUUGAAUAAGGAAACGAGAUUUCAUGUCUAUGAUCAACGGUUCGCUGGUUUAAUUUCAUACGUUAUCUAUUCGUAAGAAUUUUAAUGCAUUUCUAAAGGACGAUGGGAUGUGAUUUAAGUAGAUUAUUUCCCGUUAAAGAAUAAAAAAAAAAUUAAAAUGCAAUAAUGUCUAUCAGCUCAUUACAAAUGCAUUUUAUGUAUACUAUGGUAGUUCCGAGACUUUAUCAAACUAGUAUACUUUCUGUAAAUUGUCAUUUGGUCACUAAAGUGUGACUGUCAAUGAUGAGCAGCUCUAGAAUUGCUAACGAACACUGAAUAGUCUUUUCUCCAUGAAUAUGGUUAUUGCUCUUCUUUCUUUGUUUCUUUUCUCUCCUUUUUGCUUGUUGAUAACUUAACGUCCAGUAGCAAAUAUUUUAAAACUUAAUAGGGAAUAAAAUAGUUGGCAAUGUAUUUAUAGAUGAUCUUAAAUCACAACUAAAUAUUGUGCAGACUUCAAAGAAAAUGACGAUUUUAACUACAAUCGAUAAAAAAAUUAACCGUACAAUUGGACACCUCCAAAUUCAUCAAAUGAUUUGCCUUGUUAAUAGUGCAGAUAACAUUUCAUUAUCCAUUGGAUUUAACAUUGUUCAGUAUCCAACUCUGUAAAUUGGAUAUUAAAAAUAUUUGUAAAUUUAAAAAGAAGGAAGUUUUCUAUUUUUAAAAACAAACAAAAAUGGGCCCUUUAGAGAGGACUAAAUGAAUAAAGAAGUAAUAUUUCUUACAACAAAUAUACCGUUGGGUUCAUUUUAUCCUUUUCGAUGUUCAGUUGACCAAUAAAAUGUUUAUUUUUUAAUACAUAGAUGAGCUGGGUUUUUUUUAUGGCUUCUUCAUUCGCUUGCUCGUAUUUUUUGGUGGUCUGAGAUGUCAAAAACAACCACAUGACAAAAAUGAUUUUGAAUUUGGUCUUCAAAAGGGCUAUUUUUGUAUUCUUUGUGAAUUCCGCUUAAUUUUUUUUACCAUUUACGUCUUCGAUGAUGGGUAUUUGGACUACCGUAGUUGCUUAUGCUCGUUUCUGAGCAAAUCAUUUCUGUACUGAAUGUUCAUUUUCAGAUAGAGGAACAUAUAGUACCACGGGAUUUUUCAAAACAAAUCAAUCGAAAAGAAACAACUCCAUGACAUAAAACGAAACAUAAGUACACAAAACAUUGCAUUGAAAAAAAAGACUGAGCAAACAAACCCCAAUAAAAACGGACGGUGAUCUCAGGCCCUUCGGAGAAGAAAAUCCUGCUCCACGUAUGAUACGCGUCAUAUUGUCAUAGUUUUAAUUAAAAAAUGAUGCUGUUCGGUAGAUUAAAUUGAUUAGCAGGAAUUAUUUCGAUGAUAAAGAAUAUUGACGUGAAUCUUUCGAUUUCAGUUUCUGUGAAGGGUUUUUCAUCCUGCUUGCUAGGUUAAAAUAAAAUGGUCUUCACUCAACAUGUUUAGAUUAGAUUAAAAGAAAACUCUUCUUAUUCUUCUUCUGAUAUACAGUUACAGCUUCAUCUAUAUUGAAGAUUACGAACCGUUGCAUGCGCGGAGUAUAUAACAAAAACUCAGAUGUAGACACGGCCGGUCUUUGUCAUAUACAUUCCUUUAGUUGUUUUUCAUACUUAGUCCCAUGCAUAAUCUCAAUAAAAUUAUAUUAUUUUAAAUUUUUAUUCAGAACUGUUCUGGUCUAGGUAUAUUUGAGAAGCCUUUAUAUUAAAUUACAUUAAUCUGUGAAAAUUAAUUUUGAUCGAUAUUUUCGACAGAAAAAAAGAACCAAAUAAUUCAAAAAUAAUUCUAGGUCAAAAGACUAAUUUGAAAAUACACAAUAAAAUAUACUGUUAUACAAUCUAUAAUUAGAAUUAUUUCUCACGAAGUUAGGGUAAAUAUUUACCACUUCCUUGGUUACGGGUGUAUUGUGAAACAUAUAUUUAUUACGUGUGUACAAAAUUAGUAUCACGAACCAAUGCAUGUCGAUACAAUGUAAAAAAGUAAAAUAUUUGUGUUUAUUAAAAUUAUAUGCAGGUACAAUAAAUGUAUACCGUUCCUUUAAAUCACUUUAUAACAUGUAUAAUGGGAUAUCGAUUGCGUGUCUUGUGAUCAAACUUAUAAUAAUCAACAGAAUAAACCAAUAUCUAUAACACUUCGAAAUAUGGUGUCACCCGGUGCAUCUUUAUACUACUUUUAUUUGUUAUUUUUACAAAAUAGUCCCCACUGUGGCAAAGCCCUGCGUGCUAUUACUUGAAAUACGACUGGCAUUCACUUAUAUUUGUCCGAGACUCCGAUGUCCAACAAACAUUGGACGAGCAUUGGACGUCAGAGUAAUCUUGUCUGGCAAAACAGCCGUCGGACAUCAGGGUAAGCUUGUCUGUUUUAACUGAUGAUUAAAAACAAAAUUUAAAACUGCAAAAAUUAAGUACGAAGUUUGAGCAUUGAGGACCAAAAUUUCAAAAGGGUUUUGCCAAACACAGUCGAAUAAAAUUGAGAACGAAAAAAGUAAUUUAUUCUUGGGGUAUACAUACUUAUUAUUUCGAAAAUUCAAAGUUUUCUUAAAAUCCGUUGAUAAUUAAUACCACAUCAACAUGAUCAAUGAAAACUCGUGUCAACGCAGAAGUGCCGGUUACUGGCGUAAUAGACAAACUCAAUGUUUCUUAACGGAUGGAAUAUUUGUAUUUAUACUUUACUAAAAAAAAUUGUUCUAGGCCAAUUUAUGUGUAUGAGUAUACAUUAUAACUAGUAUUUAUUUGUUUAGGGGCCAGCUGAAGGACGCCUAUGGGUGCGGGAAUUUCUCGCGACAUUGAAGACCUGUUGGUGACCUUCUGCUGUUGGUUUUUCUAUGGUCGGGUUGUUGUCUCUUUGACACAUUACGCAUUUCCAUUCUCAAUUUUAUUCAUGGGUAACAGAUUUGUGAAUAAAUAUAUCAAUUGAAACAGUGAUAUUAAACUAGCCUUUUAAAUAUAUAUUGCGUUUUCUUUAGAAAGAAAAACUUAUCUUGACGAGGAAGUCAUGUGCAAUUUCUUUCGAUCCAUUGUAAUCAAAUUUAAUGCGUCACUGAUAAGUUAACUAAACAUUAAACCUCAAUGAAAAUUUAAUAUAUCCGCUUUUGAAUAAAGAAAAGUCCAUGACCUCGAUAAUUGAUAAACUUGACUUGUUCUACGUUUUAUAAUUCUUGUCCAUUCCAACCCAUGAAUUAGUAAAUGCUGAUGACAAUAAUUAUGGAGUUGAGUUAAUUGUGAAUAUCACAACAUGCAGUUGCAAAAAAAGUCAAAAUAUCUGGUAAAAGAGAAUUGUGUUAUUCAAAAGAUCAGCAGAAACAUCAGUGUUAAAGUAACAUUAAGUUUAACCUUUUGAAUACGGAAAAUUGGUGUAUAAAAUGCGAAUAAGCUAGUCACAAAAAAAUGUCUUAGUCUGUCGGUCGUCUCAUCAAAAUAAGUCAAUAUAUCUUAAAUCCACGUUUCGGUUUAGGACACCCCCCGCCCUUUUUCCCCCUCAAAAUCAUUCUAUUCAUUUAUUUGAUUAUCAGGUGUACAAGUUCAUAUAAUACAGGAAAAUCUUGUGAAAGUUCAGUCGAGCUGUUUUCUAUCAGCUUCAGAUUAACAACAGAAGUAUAAGUUAUAACUGACAUGUUUAAAAUAAAUUGUUCUCUGAAAAGUGUUCUUUAUUUGUACUGUGAGAGAGAGAGAGUACAAAAACAAUAUGUCUAACCCAUAAAUCUCUUUCUUGUUGUCAUACUUGAAUUUUUUCAUUAUCGUGCUUCUGUAAUUGACGAGGGGAAUAGAAAUAUUGUGUCUUAGGUGUUCUCCCGACGUUCACUAAAACCCUUGCCAAAAUGGAGAGUCUGUUUGGCUGUGUGGGAUGUACAAGUACGCAAACGCAUCCGGUCUGAAUGGGGAAGUGGAAUCCGUUGUCUCGUAAAGAACAUCACGCUCUGUACACGUUAAGAACCAUUGUAACAACUUUAUAUAAGGAUCCGAAGGUGGUACAUGUAUGUUGUCAGGUUAAAUAUUUGUCCCUUACAAUAUACCCAGGCACUUGUCUUUGACAUUUUCCCCCCAUAAUAAUAAUGACAUAUAUGUCCCUUAAUAUAUCACGUGUUGUAUUAAGGUAUAUAUACGGGAAGAAACAGAUGCAAGUACAUAUGCAUCGUUUUCCAGUGUCAUUCUGAGUUUCUGACCUCCAUCAAAGCCAGCCCCUAUUACAAUUCCUACCUAUUAUAUUUCUUGUAAAAUUGUUCCCUUUCUGAUCAUGAAUGAAAUAAUCGCCACUGGACUUUAAGCAACCAACGAUCAACAAUAAGUCGUGAUUCUUUUACAAUAAAUCGUGCUUCAUGUUGUGUAUUCUUUUUCGUAUGAAAUGACCCAUAGUGUCAAUGAUCAAAAUAUUAUUCGUUUGAUCGGUGUUUACUCAUACAUAUUUAAACUUAUAGGUAAUAAAUUCUUUGUCCACGGUAUUCAAGCGUUUAAGGUAUCUGAUAACUGAUGUCAGGUAUUGGUAUUGCGUUUUAUAAAUAGAUGGUAUUUACUAAGUACACACAAGUUAUUACAUUUUGCAAUACGUAUUUACAGGAAUCGAUUUCGAAAAAUACCGGAAAGCGUUAGCUAAGUAAGGACUGAAUUUGAUACAGGUGAGUUCUGUUUCAUCUAAGAAUUAUUUAAUCUAAGUCUAUAUUGACUCAGGUAUGUUUUUGAAUUUCAUAUUUCAUAAUUUCUCAUUUUAUUAGCUGUUUAUGCGAGUUUGGUUGAACACAG
RNAcentral lists this long non-coding RNA (6375 nucleotides) under Mytilus galloprovincialis (Mediterranean mussel). Lineage: Eukaryota; Metazoa; Mollusca; Bivalvia; Mytilida; Mytilidae. The record is from RNAcentral.